Molecule: non-coding RNA, 144 nt
Organism: Chelonoidis abingdonii (Abingdon island giant tortoise)
Lineage: Eukaryota; Metazoa; Chordata; Testudines; Testudinidae
Source: RefSeq, a predicted model, not a curated record
AUGCUGCUUCCUGGUGUGAUGUUACUGACAUGAACUGUGACCAUAUAGAUCAUUGUUGCAACCAAGGUCAUAUAGUGGUACCAAAUCUUGUACAGGGGAGGUCAAGUGAGGUGUCUAUGACAAGGUUACGAUUUUCUGGUUAUG